This 330-nucleotide ribosomal RNA is filed under the name uncultured eukaryote. Its description in RNAcentral is "SSU rRNA". It matches the Rfam family "Eukaryotic small subunit ribosomal RNA", at positions 587 to 969 of the family's 1831-position model. The record is from RNAcentral.
AGCUCCAAUAGCGUAUAUUAAAGUUGUUGCAGUUAAAAAGCUCGUAGUUGAAAUGUACGUCAGAAACGCCGUCUCUUCAUUAGAGCGCGAAUCUGGCGUGGGCUUUCAAAGCCUCUGUUACUUUGAGAAAAAUAGAGUGUUUCAGGCGGGCCAGAGCUGAAAUAGUGUACCAUGGAAUAACGAAGUGGCUAUCUUUCCGUUUCUUCAAUUUUGGAAGGAUAGCGCGUGGUUGAUAGGAACAGUCGGGGGUAUUCGUAUUGAACAGUCAGAGGUGAAAUUCUUAGAUUUGUUCAAGACGAACUAAUGCGAAAGCAUCUACCAAGGAUGUUU